This is a non-coding RNA of Pelobates cultripes (western spadefoot toad), 206 nucleotides long. Lineage: Eukaryota; Metazoa; Chordata; Amphibia; Anura; Pelobatidae. The record is from the annotation of a GenBank genome assembly.
AUUUGGAAUACUUUAUUUUGAGAGCCAUGAUAACAUGAUUAGUUGCGGUUUUUGUCCAAAGGUAAUUUUACACACACCUCAAAUGGGAAAAUAAUUUUGCCUAUGCAUCUGAUUUAGGUUUAGGUAUGCACUUGGCUACCGUGUGUUUGGCAGCUGAAUUUAGCAGCUGCUGUUGUUGUUGGUAGGGAUAAAGUUCAAAUAGUGUG